GUGCUCACUUCGGCAGCACAUAUACUAAAAUUGGAACGAUACAGAGAAGAUUAGCAUGGCCCCUGCGCAUGUACACCCGUGGUGGAUUCAUUUCAAUGUAU
RNAcentral lists this small nuclear RNA (101 nucleotides) under Ovis aries (sheep). Lineage: Eukaryota; Metazoa; Chordata; Mammalia; Artiodactyla; Bovidae. The record is from RNAcentral.